GUCAUUUUGAUAACGGGCGAUGGCAUAAAUGAACCAAACUAUUGAUGAGCUGCAUAAAUGAGUCAUUUCCGAUAGUUCAAUGGUAAAUGAGCCAAACUAUUGACGAGUGACAUAAAUGAGUGAGUUUCAUAGUUCGAUGACAUAUUUAAGUUUUUUUUUUUUUUUUUUUUUGGGUCGCUAAAGUUACACUUCUGGGACGAGAAACUCAAUAUAAAUCGGACAUGACCUAAUUUCCUAGAACCUAGCAGCAGUUCCAUGAGCAAAACUGCUGCAAUACCCACAAAGCCCUAAUUUUCUCUCUUAGAAAUCAUGAAAAGCCACCGACACAGAUUGUUUGAGGUCUCCGGUGAGUCGAGCUCUGGUCGCAGUCAGGAGAGUUGAAAUCAGAUUGUUUGCUUUUAGCUCGCAACGAUAGAGACUCUGGGUUAGUCCGUCCGGAUUACUUGGGUAUGGAACCUGUUCAAUCUCUUCCAAGUUAGUACAUCUAUUGAAAAGAAAGAGAAAAUAUUGUUUAGAGAGAGUACUGUUCUUUAAUUCUGAUUAAGUCUAAUUUACUAUUGUUUAGAGAGAGUACUGUUCUUUAAUUCUGAUUAAGUCUAAUUUACAGUAGCCAAUUUCCUGUACAGAACUAAAACUACUGGAGAUCUUCACUAUUGUGAUAUUGAUAUUGUUCAAUCUCUUCCAAGUUAGUACAUUUAUUGAAUAGAAGGAAAGAAUAUUGUUCUUUGAUUUUGAUCAAGUCUAUAUACACUAGCCAAUCAUGUACAGAACAAAACUACUGGAGAUCUUCACUAUUGUUAUAUUGGUAUUCAUUUACAUGGUGUGAUGGUGCUUAUAUUAACAAGAAAAUGUGACAUUUAUUCUGGUUGGAGGGAAAGAGAAGGAAUAUUAAAGAAUUUAUCAGAAGGGUAGCAUAUCCCUCCAUUUAACUUAUUCUUCCACGAAGUAAAAAAAGGAGAUACUCCUUAUCCUCUAAUCAUCCCAAUUAGCUAUGUAAUUAGAUAUAGCAAAAUACGUGAAGUUUGCUUGUGUUGGUGGGAGAUAAUAGGUACCCGUUAAAUUAAUCGAGGUGCGUGCAAGGUCCGUACACCACUAGUGUAAAAAAAAAAAUGCGAAGUUUGAUGUCCCAAGAUGAUGGGAGGGUCUCUUCAGUUUACAAGCUACCCUCCCAAUUGGCCAAAUUGUGAUAUACGAGGCCUGAGUUGUGUCUGAAAUAGCAGUUAUUUGGAUUUGCUCUUAAAUCUUAAUUCUAUCACCAAGUGAAGCAGAAAGUGGCAAGGAAAGAAACAUCAGCAAGGCCCUGGACUUGGAUGUUAUUGUCUUGUGGCUAAAUCAUUUCUGGUGGGCCUUUUAUAGUGCUGUCACAGGGAUCACGCCAGAUUAGCAAACCAGCCCACUUCAAUUAUUGGCAUCAUUCUUGUAGAUUAUAGUUUUAACCACAAAAGAUCAAAGCUCGGA
Lycium barbarum (goji berry) is the source of this 1458-nucleotide long non-coding RNA. RefSeq lists it as uncharacterized. The transcript is spliced from 2 exons. NCBI's taxonomy places the organism in Eukaryota, Viridiplantae, Streptophyta, Magnoliopsida, Solanales, Solanaceae. The record is from RefSeq and is a predicted model, not a curated record.